Molecule: ribosomal RNA, 253 nt
Filed under: uncultured bacterium
Lineage: Bacteria
Description: partial 16S ribosomal RNA
Rfam family: Bacterial small subunit ribosomal RNA
Source: RNAcentral
UACGGGGGGGGCAAGCGUUGUUCGGAAUUACUGGGCGUAAAGGGCUCGUAGGCGGCCAACUAAGUCGGAUGUGAAAUCCCCAGGCUCAACUUGGGAACUGCAUCCGAUACUGGAUGGCUUGAAUUCGGGAGAGGGAUGCAGAAUUCCAGGUGUAGCGGUGAAAUGCGUAGAUAUCAGGAGGAAUACCGAUGGCGAAGGCAGGUCUCUGGGCUGACACUGACGCUCAUGCACGAAAGCGUGGGGAGCAAACAGG